This 303-nucleotide long non-coding RNA is filed under the name Phoenix dactylifera (date palm). Its description in RNAcentral is "long non-coding RNA (PDAC_LNC018561)". The record is from RNAcentral. Lineage: Eukaryota; Viridiplantae; Streptophyta; Magnoliopsida; Arecales; Arecaceae.
UUCAGAAGAUCGAUGGAAAGGAGAACCUAGCUGACCCAUUCACUAAAGCCCUUUCUGUAAAGGAGUUCGAUUAUCACAAAUCGAAGAUGGGUAUAAGAUACUGUACAAAUUGGUUUUAGUCCAAGUGGGAGUUGUUGGGAAUUGUGUCCCAAAGCCAAUUUAUUAGUUGUAAGAAAUUGAAUUAUGUAUAUGUUUUAUUAAAAUGAAUAAAAAUUUAUUCUGGCAAUUUUCUAUUCAUCAUAAGUGUUGCAUCUUCAAAUUGAACUUCUGUGUAUUGUGAUGAAGUCCUUAGGACUAAUUUAG